AAGAAGAAACCAAAAUAUUCAGAACAUUCAGCAUACAUUAUUGCUACUCAGCUAAUUGCAUUUUUGCGCCGAGGAAUUAAGACCGGAAGUGAAUUACAUGAGGCAACGCCAUCACCAAUCCCUCUGUAAUUUGCUUCCUCAGCAACUCCUGCUCCUCAAUGGUCUGUGGAUACCUUGACGGAGCAAUUUUGAUCUUGGGAUCCAACUCUUCACAGCAAUCUUCCACCUUCCUGUUGUACAGGGAUAUCUCCUCUAGGUUAACCGCGGUUUCCAUGAUGUGCCUGAUGUAUCCCAAAAAGUUGUCAUCUGGUUGGAAACCAUAGAUGGUGAGCUUAACCAGAUUGUAAUGCCUGAAACCAUUAGAUGAAGAUGACUCCCACUGCACGUUUGUUUUGUCACAGUAACCCUCUUCUUCCCGUUCCACCUGGUCUGUCACAAUAUUACACCAAUGGUCCCAAACUGUGAUGCAUAGCUCCUUCAGGAAGGGUGCAGCUUCAAGAAAGAAGCGUGUCCAUGUGAUAUCACAUCCUUCAGGGAGAUCCUCCAGAUUCAAAACUUGAAGAUUCUGGAGAACAGGCACCAGCAGUUUCGGGCGCUCUGGCUGAACCCAAAUCUGUAAUACAAACAAUUGAGGUGCAGGUCUCUUAUGGAGGUUACAUUAGAAAGAAACUGACUUAAUCUGAUAAGGUUGUGCCGUCUCAGACCUACAUUAGUGAGGCUUAGGCUUGACAGCUGCGGAACAUUGCCAAAAUACAAGGGUUCUUGGGGAUGUUUCCAACUAUAAAAGACCAGCCGUUCAAGUUUUGGUAGAGAAUUGAGCUUAACUAGUUUUAAACAUCCGUGGCAGAUAUCAAGCUCAACAAGCCGCUGGUGUUCUAGCUGCAGCUGCAACACAGUACCCUCUGUUUGACACAUGAACAUACGCAGAGACUCUAACCGUUUGCAUGUGGCAAUGAUAUUGAGAAUGUCAGUUUCAGGAAGCCUUAAGUUCUGUAGGUAGAGUCUUGUAAGUCCAGCAAAUGCAUCAGUACAAGCACCAAAAAAGGUCAUGAGCUGUUUCCCAUUGUUGCGGAGACCAUCAAGAGUGUAAUAAUGUAGCUUAUAAUCGGUCAGAAUUCUGAACUCAGCGCUGUCAAGCUUGUGGGUUGUCAUGGCUCGGGCAACAGCUUUGCCGAUGGUAAGACAGUCGUAGUAUUUCAAGUAGAAACAUAUGCUGAGUUGGCGAAGAGGGAUGUCUUUGGCUCUGAAAUUGAGAACAUUAUCUGUUGCAGCGGCCACGGCGGCGUUCAUCCCAAUAGUGUCCUUAAAAGUGAUAUAAUCAGGAUCUGGCGCGAAUGAAAGUAGGGCAAUUCGAAAGUGCGAAAGCAUGCGUGGGAGGUGGAGCGUCCUCUUAGAGAGGAGGCAGGUCCUGACGGCGUCGGGCGUGUUGAGGCGGUCCAGGAUGUUGAGCAGAACAUCGUCAGGUAGCGUGGUGAACCUAUC
Molecule: small RNA, 1482 nt
Filed under: Oryza sativa Japonica Group (Japanese rice)
Lineage: Eukaryota; Viridiplantae; Streptophyta; Magnoliopsida; Poales; Poaceae
Description: sRNA Os02g0825550
Source: RNAcentral